UGGGGAAUAUUGGACAAUGGGGGGAACCCUGAUCCAGCCAUGCCGCGUGUGUGAAGAAGGCCUUAUGGUUGUAAAGCACUUUAAGCGAGGAGGAGGCUCUCUUGGUUAAUACCCAAGAUGAGUGGACGUUACUCGCAGAAUAAGCACAGGCUAACUCUGUGCCAGCAGCCGCGGUAAUACAGAGGGUGCGAGCGUUAAUCGGAUUCACUGGGCGUAAAGCGUGCGUAGGCGGCUUUUUAAGUCGGAUGUGAAAUCCCCGGUCUUAACUUCGGAAUUGCAUUCGAUACUUGUAGUCUAUAUUAUGGUAGAGGAUGGUAGAAUUCCACGUGUAGCGUUGAAAUGCGUAGUGAUCUGGAGGACUACCGAUGGCGAAGGCAGCCAUCUGGCCUAAUACUGACGCUGAGGUACGAAAGCAUGGGGAGCAAACAGG
RNAcentral lists this ribosomal RNA (430 nucleotides) under Bacillota bacterium. RNAcentral's name for it is "Firmicutes bacterium partial 16S ribosomal RNA". It matches the Rfam family "Bacterial small subunit ribosomal RNA", at positions 355 to 776 of the family's 1533-position model. The record is from RNAcentral. Lineage: Bacteria; Bacillati; Bacillota.